GGGGAGCUGUGCCUCUGCCAGGCGUCAUCAUGCUGCUCCUUGGUCUCUGUGGCUCUAAGUACGGGGUCUGGUUGCUGUUUUCCACUUCUUUUGAGGACUGAGUGUCUCUGCAGAGAUGGCUGUGGGCUUCUUUGGAUGCAUCGAAGGCCUUGUGAGAGAUGCUGGCUCUUAUGGCAGGAGCAGGUUCUGCCCCUUGCCUACUUUUCCUGGGCGGUCUUCUCUAUCUCCAGGGAGCCAGGGAAGCCCAGACCCCACACAGAGAGGGGAAUCAGGGAGGAACUCCCAGAAGGAGGUGGCUUGCAGGCAGAGAAGCCAGACUCAGUCCUGGUGCUGCUGCAACAGAGGAAGCAGGGGACACCGGAGCCUUGAGAAGGCAUCUCGGAGAGUGAGGGGCUCUCCUGACUGCCUCAGACAGGUCGAGCUCUCUUUCCCCACUCCAGCUCCCCUCUGCCAGGAGCUCCCCUAACCCCCACCGCCCACUCCCUAUCAUGUACCUGGCUCCUCAUCCUUGAAAUUCAUGGGAGAGAUCAGUGUGGUUUGCUGGCCCAUAGCACCUUUCUCUAAAGGCUGAACCCAAGCCAUCCUCGAGGGCUUCAGCCCUCUGCCCCCUCAGCCCAUUUUGUUUGACUGGGUUGACCCAACCCCCUGGCUGCUGGAGUGGGCUCAUGACCCAGGCCUGGCCAGUCAGAGUUUGGCUCAGGGAUGAUCCUCUGACCCAAGCCAGAAUCCCAAUCCUGGUCAUUUUCUACUGUCUCCUGGGGAUUUGCAGAAAGGACAUGCAGGGAGAGAAGCUACAUGCGAUGGAAGCCAACACAGGAGGGCAGGACUGAGAGAUGGGAGGACAUUCCUGACAAAAAUUAUCUCAACACCUAAAUUCACCUGUGCCUGAAGUCAACCACUCCCAGACUUUCUCGUUAGGCAAAGCAAUACAAUCUUUCGAUUUGUGUAUGCUUGUUACUCUGUGUGGAGUUUCUAAGACCUGCAACCACAAAAGUCCUGCUUCAUUGAAGAUCUUGGCUGAAACACCUCAGAGGAGCCUUCCCUGGUCACUUUACGCUCUGGUCUAAAUGUUUAUGUCCCCCCCGUCAAAUGCAUAUGUUGAAAUCCUAACCCUGAAGGUGAUGGCAUUAGGAGGCAGGGCCUUUGGGAGGAGAUUAGGUCGUGAGGAUGAACCCCUCAUGAAUGGGAUUAGUGCUUCCACAAAAGAGACCCCAGAGAGCUCCCUCACCCCUCCACCAUAUGAGGACACAGAGACGGCUGUCUGUGAAACAAGAAAUGGGCUCUCACCAGACGCCAAAUCUGCCAGCACCUUGAUCUUGGACUUCCAGCCUCGAGAACGCCUGGUGGUGAUGAAACCAAGGCUGCAGGAGGGGAAGUAACCAGCCCAGGAUCCUGCAAGUGUUGCUGGAGCUUCACUAGCACUCAGGCUGUCUGAUUCAGGGACAUACCAGGGAGGGUGUGGAUGCUGUAGAACCUCCAACAGGACGCCAGUGUCCUCUUAGAGGAGGGUACGUUCAUAUGCCUACUUUGGGGGUAAGUUUGGGAAUUUCUGCUAAACAUUAAAAACACACAGCCUGUGAUCCCAGCAGUGCUACUAGAGAGUUCUCACUCCCGGGCACAAGGAAACCCAUCCCUGCAGGGGGUUUGCCUAUGACCGAGAACUGGCUAACAGCCAAAUGUGCCUGGGAGCAGGGUAACACAGUUGUGGUGGUGUGUCCAUGCUCUGCAGUACCACACAGCAGAUAAAGAAUUGGGUGCAGUGUGUCCUGACAUGGAAAAGUUUCCAAGACAUGUUGUUAUGCGGUAAAAGAAAGCAGAGCAUUGCAUGUGGCAUGAUAAUUUCAUAUAAGCCACAACUACGCCAGCGCUUAUAAGUGUAAAGAAGAGAAAGAGAAUGUUCUAGAAGGAUAUAUGCUAAACUGACAGAGAUGGGGAGGGGACCAGGACUGGAGGUAGUGGUCAAAGAAGGCCUA
RNAcentral lists this long non-coding RNA (1973 nucleotides) under Equus caballus (horse). RNAcentral describes it as "lncRNA (ENSECAG00000058690.1)". Lineage: Eukaryota; Metazoa; Chordata; Mammalia; Perissodactyla; Equidae. The record is from RNAcentral.